GAUGAACGCUGGCGGCGUGCCUAAUACAUGCCAGUAGAACGCUGAAGGAGGAGCUUGCUCUUCUGGAUGAGUUGCGAACGGGUGAGUAACGCGUAGGUAACCUGCCUGGUAGCGGGGGAUAACUAUUGGAAACGAUAGCUAAUACCGCAUGACAACAGUUAUUGCAUGAUAACUGUUUAAAAGGGGCAACUGCUCCACUACCAGAUGGACCUGCGUUGUAUUAGCUAGUUGGUGAGGUAACGGCUCACCAAGGCGACGAUACAUAGCCGACCUGAGAGGGUGAUCGGCCACACUGGGACUGAGACACGGCCCAGACUCCUACGGGAGGCAGCAGUAGGGAAUCUUCGGCAAUGGACGGAAGUCUGACCGAGCAACGCCGCGGGAGUGAAGAAGGGUUUCGGAUCGUAAAGCUCUGUUGUAAGAGAAGAACGAGUGUGAGAGUGGAAAGUUCACACUGUGACGGUAUCUUAACAGAAAGGGACGGCUAACUACGUG
Molecule: ribosomal RNA, 495 nt
Filed under: uncultured bacterium
Lineage: Bacteria
Description: partial 16S ribosomal RNA
Rfam family: Bacterial small subunit ribosomal RNA
Source: RNAcentral